Long non-coding RNA from Homo sapiens (human), 491 nucleotides. Ensembl annotates it as CHKA divergent transcript. Its record names the gene CHKA-DT. The record is from Ensembl. Lineage: Eukaryota; Metazoa; Chordata; Mammalia; Primates; Hominidae.
UCUGCACGCCUCCCGCAGCCUCAGUUUCCCUGUCCGUGGUACUGAGGAUGCUCGGGCCUAGAAGUUCAGGGCUGGAGGCCCAGGGACCGUCGAGGGAGGGGCAUCAUCCCCGCCAUGGGGCCGCCGCAACUGCCCAGAGCACAGGCCAAAGGAAGCUGCAGGAUGAAGACAACAGCAUCACAAGGAGGAAGCCAGGAUCCCUGUGUUACCACAAGGAGGAGAGAUGCCUAACCAAGACCGUCUGCAAGGAUUUUGUGUGAGCCAGAAGCAGAGCUGUAUGGUGUUCAGCCACUGAGAUUUGAGGGCUGUUUGUUACAGCAGUUGACCUAUCCUGACUGACACAUCACAUCAUUCCUUUCCCCACCAUGUGUCUAACAUGCUACCAAAUUGAAUUUUAAGUAAAUUAGUACUUAUAAAUUAAGUACAAAUGCUUUUCAAAUUCACAUGAAUCUUUGGUAAAUAAAACUGGUUGUAAAAUUAUUGAUAAAUAU